Phrynosoma platyrhinos (Desert horned lizard) is the source of this 73-nucleotide non-coding RNA. The record is from the annotation of a GenBank genome assembly. Lineage: Eukaryota; Metazoa; Chordata; Lepidosauria; Squamata; Phrynosomatidae.
GACUGCAUGGCCUAAUAGGUAAGUCUUCUGGCUUCGGAUCAGAAAACUGAGGGUUUGAGUCCCUCCAUGGUUG